UGCGUGUGUCUUCGCGAGGCGAAGAGAAUCCUACAGAACGCUGGGUCAAAGUGCCGCCUCCAAACCCGCGGGGCGCGGUGGGGAAUGCGGCACGUUGGAGCGGGGUGGUCGCAUUACUACCUAAGCCGACGGGCUGCUAGGCUGGUUGACAAGAGGCAACAAUGCAGCAGGGCAACGGGACCCUGGGAUGCGAGCUGGGGCCCCAUCGGGAGAGAUUCCACGCGAGAAGUGGGAUAAACAUCUCUCUGGGAGGGGAAGGAGGCUGAGGCCGCGGGGGAGCCCCAGUGGGAGUCGCGGAGGGCAACAGCCGGGCCCAUCCCCCUGUCCUCUUCCCUCCCGCUCCUACCUGUUGCAUGAGCCCUCCAGGCGCUCCUCCAGCCCCAGCGGAUCCCACUCUCGCCCUCGGCCCCCAGGAGCCGCCGCGGCCCGGAGCUGAGCUCCGCCCCGGCCCGAGUCGCCGCCCUCCCCAAGCCUGCUGUGCUCUGAGCGCCCCCUUCCCGCCAGCGAGCGCAGCUGGGGCCUGAAUUCAGCUCCUUCUUCGCUCGCCUUUUCCCACGCGGCCGAUGACUCAGUCGGUGCUCCCCUUCCGAGGGUCAAGCCGUCGCUCAGGAAACUUAACUACAGAGGGAGAGGCUUCAACGCUGGAAAGGGAAAGCCCGGAUGCCAGCACAAGGAUACUUGGAAGAGAGCCAGCACAAGGAUACUUUGGCUCUUCGAGGGUUUAGAAAUGGGCAAGGCUUUUUGUGUCAUCUGUUGCUCGGCCAUUGAAAUGCAUGCUCCUCUUCUGAAAGCCUCAAGAGACAAGGGAAAGGCAAGUGCAGAACAGAACAACUUCAAACAGUUCUGAUCGAACCACAACUACAGCAAAAGACUUCUAUUCAGAAAGACUCACCCUUCCUAGGGCAAAGAAGAAAAUGCUGCCUGGAAAAUAGGAGAGAAAUAGCUCUCUCAAAGCUACUUUGCUCGGACAGGUGCUUUAAAAAAAUUGAUUAUUCAGGAUGAUGGGAUCUUAGUGAAAUGCUAAGCAAGAUAGCCUUUCACAAAGGAACUGAAGAAAAAGAGACCUAUUCGAAUGAUCAGACAAGCACAGAAAAAUGUGGUGGUCAGUGCAGGCUUGUCACCCACUACAUGACAUGAGCCCCGUUUUGUGGUUUCCAAGAUAGCUGGGCUUUUGUGAAGCCCACUCUAACCACUAUUUAAAUGUUAUGUUUCCAUGACGUAUAUGCAUACCAGCAAGUCCAAUGCUGUUUCAGCUGCCAGUGUGGCCCCUUCCUCUGUGCUGCAAGUGGGCUAGCUAGCAUUUUUUGUUUUUAAAUAAGCAGAUGUACAUUUUAUUUGUUUAUAUAUUCAUCCUUCCUUAAAACAAAAAACAAACAUUCUGAAAACAAAAGCAAAAGUGCUCUGUGUUUUGGGAGAGGAAAAGUAGUGGUAUCUGUAUGGAUAAUAGCCAUUCAGCACAAACAGCUUUUCCCCAUUCAAACUACCCUGAACAAUUCCAGGGAUGGGUUUAUUCAGAACUCUCUCCAAAGAGGAAAUGGUCUGUCUAGACUGAAAGUGGUUAGGGUGCUUCCAACCUGCACCACAGUUCUACAAAUGUUAUAACCUAUCUAUACUUCAGAUGUAGGAACUCAUGGCCCAUCAUUCAGCUUAAGCAAUUCCAAUGGCUAAUAUGCUUCUCAAGCUAGUCCUAAACAUAUUUGCUUGGAAGUUGAUCAAUAGAACUUACUCAUCAUUUGCUGGUCAAUGACCGAAUAAACUUAUAACUAACUUACUCAUCAAUAUGUAUGCUUAGGACUGCCACUCCAGUGCAUUGUACAGGAAAUGGAAGGCUCAAGGGUGGGGACCAGGAGGUGCCCUACUAGGGACUUCAACAGUUAGCUGCCAUUAUAGCUUAAGACAAUAAAAGAUGUCCAGGGAGCACUUUUUGUUAAUCACUAUUUUGGAAAGCCUGGCACAAAGUACAAAACAAGCAAGAGUAGGGAGUGGCCUCUAGGUAACAUCCAAACUGAGCAAAAGAGUAAGAACAUAAUCUCCAUCCAUUAAUAGGAUGAUAUACUGCACAACGUUAUACAUGCAGUGGAAUGUAAUAUUCAUGCAGUUUCUCAAAAGCACUGUUGUGCAAGUGCAAAAUUGUGCAAA
Long non-coding RNA from Hemicordylus capensis (graceful crag lizard), 2139 nucleotides. RefSeq lists it as uncharacterized. Lineage: Eukaryota; Metazoa; Chordata; Lepidosauria; Squamata; Cordylidae. The record is from RefSeq and is a predicted model, not a curated record. The transcript is spliced from 4 exons.